RNAcentral lists this small nuclear RNA (135 nucleotides) under Chinchilla lanigera (long-tailed chinchilla). Its description in RNAcentral is "U4 spliceosomal RNA (ENSCLAG00000020784.1)". It matches the Rfam family "U4 spliceosomal RNA". From Rfam's summary of the family: U4 small nuclear RNA (U4 snRNA) is a component of the major U2-dependent spliceosome. The structure of U4 snRNA from yeast and human has been reported. Lineage: Eukaryota; Metazoa; Chordata; Mammalia; Rodentia; Chinchillidae. The record is from Rfam by way of RNAcentral.
AGCUUUGCGCAGUGGUAAUAUCAUAGCCAAUGAGGUUUAUCCAAGGUGCGAUUAUUGCUAAUUGAAAAUAUAUGUUGUAGGAGACUUUUAAAAUUUCGUUUUAUUCAGAUGUACAAUCUUUGGAAGAAUAUGAUU